CCCAGAUUUCUUAAAAGUGAGAUACGUACCUAACCCAGCGAGUCCAAGACUGUUUGGAAAUGCUAAACACACAAAACCCCAUUAUCCUUUAGGCCUAUUGUCGAGAAGUGCAGGGCACCAACGUAUCCUCUGGAAAAAGCUGUGGCAAAAUAGAUAGGUAAGAAGAGAAAGAUGUAUCCACACACCAUACCAUCCUCUGAAGCAUUUGUACAAGAACUAAAUUCUGUAUCCCUCCAAGGCAACGAGCUGCUUCCAGUGUACGACUUCGAAAAAUUAUAUCUUGCACUUAAAAUUGCUCCAGUGUGUCUUCUGUUAUACAGGUUUUUCCUAGAAAACAUCCUCAAACGAACCAUAAUCCAGCCUUAUUUAGAGAUUUAGCAGACAUCUUGUGUAAC
Molecule: long non-coding RNA, 395 nt
Filed under: Androctonus crassicauda
Lineage: Eukaryota; Metazoa; Arthropoda; Arachnida; Scorpiones; Buthidae
Source: RNAcentral